Long non-coding RNA from Homo sapiens (human), 515 nucleotides. RefSeq lists it as uncharacterized. The transcript is spliced from 3 exons. NCBI's taxonomy places the organism in Eukaryota, Metazoa, Chordata, Mammalia, Primates, Hominidae. The record is from RefSeq and is a predicted model, not a curated record.
UGUAAAGUAGCUCUGAACCAAAGUUGAGCCACAUUCGGUCACUCAAGAGUAUAUUCAUCAUUUCUCUGAAUGACAACUUUAGAAAUCUUCUUCCUAUCUCUAUCAAGUUCACCGUCCCUAUGUCGAAGAACACAGUGAAAAGUAUAAAGAGAAAAGGCAAUACUUACAUAUGGUGAAACAAAUCCCAACAAUGUUUACCAGUAAUGGAAUGAUCGAGAGGCUGUUGAUCAGAAAACGUAUGGAACUGUAUUUUGGGAAGCUUGAAAUAUUUUCAUCAUUUGACUUGUGGUGCCAUGGUAUAUAAAUUUCCUAUUGAAGAGUUUAAAUAGAGUUGCAGAGGAAUAGCAGGAAAAAUGGCUGAGAUCUCAUCACUUGUCAGAUAAAUCCCAGGGUGCCUCUGCUAUAUAACCAAGAUACUGAUUGAUUUCUUUACUCCUAGAAGUCUGUGACAUUACUGCACCACUUAACGCUCCAAAAUGAAAAGUCUUUGCCUUGAAGGUGAACUGCUGUUUCAG